Molecule: long non-coding RNA, 8685 nt
Filed under: Gallus gallus (chicken)
Lineage: Eukaryota; Metazoa; Chordata; Aves; Galliformes; Phasianidae
Description: lncRNA (ENSGALG00010010273.1)
Source: RNAcentral
CCCGCAUCCUCCCUUCCCUGCCCACCCCACCUCGGUGGGGGAGGGGUCCCCCCAUGCCAACAGCACACUGCUGCCCACCUUCAUAAGGGGGAUUUCAGUGUUCUCUCGCACCGCUCGGGGUCCUGCCUGCAGAAUGACUUUGGUCCCAUUAAACCUCUUCGUUAACGACGUGGGCGAUGGGGCGGAGCGCCCCAAGGAAGUCUGCGGGUGAUGCAAUGCGGGGAGAAGUGGAUGAUGGAUGGCUGAGCUCAUGCUGCCACCCAGAGGACUCUGGGCACGAUGGAGAAAUGGGCUGCAGGAACCCCAUGGAGCUCAGCAAGGAGCAGUGCGCGGAGAUAUGGUGGGCAUAUUGGAUGAAAUGAGCUCCAGAGGUUCCCUACAACCCCAACCAUCCCAUGACCGUGUGGGGUUCUUUCCAAACCCAACCAUCCCAUGGUCCUAUAGUGUUCCUUCCAACCCCAACCAUCCCAUGUUCCUAUGCGAUUCCUUCCAACCCCAACCAUCCCAUUAUUAUGUGAGGUUCCUUCCAACCCCAACCAUCCCAUAGUCCUGUGAGGUUCCACCCAACCCCAACCAUCCCAUUAUCAUAUGAGAUUCCUUCCAACCCCAACCACCCAUGAUCCUAUGAAGUUCCUUCCAACCCCAACCAUCCCAUUAUCAUGUGAGGUUCCUUCCAACCACAACCAUCCUAUUAUCAUGUGAGAUUCCUUCCAACCCCAACCAUCCCAUGGUCCUGUGGGGCUCUUUCCAACCCCAACCAUCCCAUGAUCCUAUAGUGUUUCUUCCAAUCCCAACCAUUCCAUGGUCCUGUGAGAUUCCUUCCAACCCCAACCAUCCCAUGAUCCUGAGAGGUUCCUUCCAACCCCAACCAUCCCAUGGCCCUAUGAAAUUCCUUCCAACCCCAACCAUCCCAUUAUCCUGUGAAGUUCCUUCCAACCCCAACCAUUCCAUGGUCCUAUAGUGUUCCUUCCAACCCCAACCAUCCCAUGAUCCUAUAGUGUUCCUUCCAACCCCAACCAUCCCAUGGUCCUGUGGGGCUCCUUCCAACCCCAACCAUCCCAUGGCCCUAUGGUGUUCCUUCCAACCCCAACCAUCCCAUGGUCCUAUGAAGUUCCUACCAACCUCAACCAUCCCAUGGUCCUAUGGAGUUCCUUCCAACCCCAACCAUCCCACAGCCCUGUGGGGCUCCUUCCAACCCAACCAUCCCAUGGUCUAAUAGUGUUCCUUCCAACCCCAACAAGUCCGUGGUCCUAUGGUGUUACUUCCAACCCCAACCAUCCCAUGGUCUUGUGGGGCUCUUUCCAAUCCCAACCAUCCCAUGAUCCUACAAAGUUCCUUCCAACCCCAACCAUUCCAUGACCCUGUGGGGUUCCACCCAACCCCAACCAUCCCAUGGUCCUAUAGUGUUCCUUCCAACCCCAACCAUCCCAUACCCCUAUGGUGUCCCUUCCAACCCCAACCAUCCCACAACCCUGUGGGGCUCCUUCCAACCCCAACGAUCCCAUGGCCCUGUGGUGUCCCUUCCAACCCCAACCAUCCCAUGGUCCUGUGGGGUUGAUCCAUUGGGAUCUAUAUGGGAUCUGUAUGGGAUCAAGUGGGACCUAUGGGAUCUCUGUGGGAUCCAUUGGGUUCCAUGGGGCCUGUAUGGGAUCUCUGUGGGAUCUAUUGGGAUCUAUGGGGUCUGUAUGGGAUCUGUAUGUGUUCCAUUUGGAUCUAUGGCGUCUCUAUGGGAUCUAUUGGUUUCUAUGGGGUCUCUAUCAGAUCUCUAUGGGAUCCAGUGGGAUCCACGACGUCCCUUUUGGAUCUCUAUGGGAUCCAGUGGGAUCUAUGGGGUCUCUAUGGGAUCUCUUGGGAUCUAUGAGGUCUCUAUGGGAUCUCUGUGGGAUCCAUUGGGAUCUAUGGGGUCUCUAUGGGAUCUCUAUGGGAUCCAGUGGGAUCUAUGAGGUCUCUAUGGGAUCCAUUGGGUUAUAUGGGGUCUCUAUAGGAUCUCUAUGGGAUCCAGUGGGAUCUAUGGGGUCUCUAUGGGAUCUCUAUGGGAUCCAUUGGGUUCUAUGGGGUCUCUAUGGGAUUCAUUGGGAUCUAUGGGGUCUAUAUGGGAUCUCUGCGAGAUCCGUUGGGUUCUAUGGCGUCUCUAUGGGGUCUCUAUGGGAUCCAUUGGGAUCUAUGGGAUCUCUAUGGGAUCCCUCUGGCAUAUAUGGGUUCUCUGUGGGAUCUCUGUGGGAUCCCAAUAGGAUCUGUGGGUCCCCACAGUGUCGUCGUUGUCCCCCCCCAUAAAGAACAUAAGCGACGCUAUGGGGCACAGCAGCGUUUAUUGGACGGCACCACGAGGGGGGGAGAGAGGGGGCAGACAACGCUGUGGGGCACGGGGAGGGGGGGGGGAAUCUAUGGGGCAGAGGGGGGGUGAAUCUAUGGGGCAGAAGGGGGUGAUGCUAUGGGGCACGGGGGGGGAAUCUAUGGGGCAGAGGGGGGCGAUGCUAUGGAGUGGGAUGGCAAUGAUGUGGGGCACAGAGGGGGCGCUGUGGGGUAGAGGGGGCGAUGCUAUGGGGGAGAAGGGGCAAUUCUAUGGGGCAGAGAGGGACGAUGCUGUGGGCCAGAGAGGUGAUGGUAUGGGGCAGAGGGGGCGAUGCUAUGGGGCUGGUGGUGAUGCUAUGGGGCAGAGGGGGAUGUUGCUAUGGGGCAGAGGGGGGUGAUGCUAUGGGGCAGAGAGGGACGAUGCUAUGGGGCACAGAGGGAGGAUGCUAUGGGGCAGAGGGGGUGAUGCUAUGGGGCACGGGGGGGGGAAUCUAUGGGGCAGAGGGGGGCGAUGCUAUGGGGUGGGAUGGCAAUGAUGUGGGGCAUAGAGGGGGCGCUGUGGGGCAGAGGGGGGCGUUGCUAUGGGGCAGAGGGGGGUGAUGGUGUGGGGCAGAGGGGGGCGAUGCUAUGGGGCGGAGAGGGUGAUGCUGUGGGGCAGAGGGGGGCGAUGUUAUGGGGCGGAGAGGGAGAUGCUAUGGAGCAGAGGGGUGAUGGUAUGGGGGGGGGAUCUAUGGGGCAGGGGGGGGCGAAUCUAUGGGGCAGAAGAGGAUGAUGCUACGGGGUGGGAUGGCAAUGAUGUGGGGCACAGAGGGGGCGCUGUGGGGCAGAGUGCGGCGUUGCUAUGGGGCAGAGGGGGGGUGAUGCUAUGGGGCAGAGAGGCUGAUGCUAUGGGGCAGAGAAGGAGAAUGCUAUGGGGCAGAGAGGGUGAUGCUAUGGGGCACGGGAGGGGGAAUCUAUGGGGCAGAGGGGGGCGAUGCUAUGGGGUGGGAUGGCAAUGAUGUGGGGCACAGAGGGGGCACUGUGGGGCAGAGGGGGCGAUGCUAUGGGGGAGAAGGGGCAAUUCUAUGGGGCAGAGGGGGACGAUGCUGUGGGUCAGAGAGGUGAUGGUAUGGGGCAGAGGGGGCGAUGCUAUGGGGCUGGUCGUGAUGCUAUGGGGCAGAGGGGGAUGUUGCUAUGGGGCAGAGGGGGGUGAUGCUAUGGGGCAGAGGGGUGAUGCUAUGGGGCAGAGGGGCAAUGCUAUGGGGCAGGAGAGGUGAUGCUAUGGGGUGGGAUGGCAAUGAUGCGGGGCAUAGAGGGGGCGCUGAGGGGCAGAGGGGGGCGUUGCUAUGGGGCAGAGGGGGGCGAUGCUGUGGGGCAGAGGGGGCAAUGCUAUGGGGCAGAGGGGUGAUGCUAUGGGGCAGAGGGGGGUGAUGCUAUGGGGCAGAGGGUCAAUGCUAUGGGGCAGACGAGGGCGAUGCUGUGGGGCAGAGAGGGCAAUGCUAUGGGGCAGGGGGGGAAUCUAUGGGGCAGAGGGGGAUGAUGCUGUGGGGCAGAGAGAAUGCUAUGGGGUAGAGGAGGGCGAUGCUAUGGGGCAGAGAGGGAGAUGCUAUGGGGUAGAGGGCGGUGAUGCUAUGGGGCAGAGGGGGCAAUGCUAUGGGGCAGAAGGGGUGAUGCUAUGGGGUGGGAUGGCAAUGAUGUGGGGCACAGAGGGGGGCGCUGUGGGGCAGAGGGGGCGAUGCUAUGGGGGAGAAGGGGCAAUUCUAUGAGGCAGAGAGGGACGAUGCUGUGGGCCAGAGAGGUGAUGGUAUGGGGCAGAGGGGGCGAUGCUAUGGGGCUGGUGGUGAUGCUAUGGGGCAGAGGGGGAUGUUGCUAUGGGGCAGAGGGGAGUGAUGCUAUGGGGCAGAGGGGUGAUGCUAUGGGGCAGAGGGGCAAUGCUAUGGGGCAGGAGAGGUGAUGCUAUGGGGUGGGAUGGCAAUGAUGUGCGGCAUAGAGGGGGCGCUGAGGGGCAGAGGGGGGCGUUGCUAUGGGGCAGAGGGGGGUGAUGCUAUGGGGCAGAGAGGCUGAUGCUAUGGGGCAGAGAGGGAGAAUGCUAUGGGGCAGAGAGGGUGAUGCUAUGGGGCACGGGAGGGGGAAUCUAUGGGGCAGAGGGGGGCGAUGCUAUGGGGUGGGAUGGCAAUGAUGUGGGGCACAGAGGGGGCACUGUGGGGCAGAGGGGGCGAUGCUAUGGGGGAGAAGGGGCAAUUCUAUGGGGCAGAGAGGGACGAUGCUGUGGGCCAGAGAGGUGAUGGUAUGGGGCAGAGGGGGCGAUGCUAUGGGGCUGGUGGUGAUGCUAUGGGGCAGAGGGGGAUGUUGCUAUGGGGCAGAGGGGGGUGAUGCUAUGGGGCAGAGAGGGACGAUGCUAUGGGGCACAGAGGGAGGAUGCUAUGGGGCAGAGGGGGUGAUGCUAUGGGGCACGGGGGGGGGAAUCUAUGGGGCAGAGGGGGGCGAUGCUAUGGGGUGGGAUGGCAAUGAUGUGGGGCAUAGAGGGGGCGCUGUGGGGCAGAGGGGGGCGUUGCUAUGGGGCAGAGGGGGGUGAUGGUGUGGGGCAGAGGGGGGCGAUGCUAUGGGGCGGAGAGGGUGAUGCUGUGGGGCAGAGGGGGGCGAUGUUAUGGGGCGGAGAGGGAGAUGCUAUGGAGCAGAGGGGUGAUGGUAUGGGGGGGGGAUCUAUGGGGCAGGGGGGGGCGAAUCUAUGGGGCAGAAGAGGAUGAUGCUACGGGGUGGGAUGGCAAUGAUGUGGGGCACAGAGGGGGCGCUGUGGGGCAGAGUGCGGCGUUGCUAUGGGGCAGAGGGGGGGGUGAUGCUAUGGGGCAGAGAGGCUGAUGCUAUGGGGCAGAGAAGGAGAAUGCUAUGGGGCAGAGAGGGUGAUGCUAUGGGGCACGGGAGGGGGAAUCUAUGGGGCAGAGGGGGGCGAUGCUAUGGGGUGGGAUGGCAAUGAUGUGGGGCACAGAGGGGGCACUGUGGGGCAGAGUGGGGCGUUGCUAUGGGGCAGAGGGGGGUGAAGCUGUGGAGCAGAGUGGUGAUGCUAUGGGGCAGAGGGGGGAUGGGGCUAUGGGGCAGGGGAGGCUGAGAAGUGGGGCAGGGUGGGAUGACGCUAUGGGGCACUGUGGGGCGCGGAGGGGCGGUGCUGCUGUGGGGCUGAGCAGAGGUUUGGGGGCUGAAGUUGUGGGGCACAACAGGGGGUGCAAACGGGGCUGCCCCAUAGAUUUGGGGGCUGCCCCAUAAGUGUGCAUAUGUGGGUCCGGAGCUGCCCCAUAGAUUGCAUAGCUGCAGUUGUGGGGCUGCCCCAUAAGUGUGCGUAUGUGGGUCUGGGGCUGCCCCAUAAGUGGGUACCUAGAGCUGUGGGGCUGCCCCAUAGAUUGCAUAGCGGGGGCUGUGGGGCUGCCCCAUAAGUGUGCGUAUGUGGGUCAGGGGCUGCCCCACAGAUUGCAUAGGGGCGGUUGUGGGGCUGCCCCAUAAGUGUGCGUAUGUGGGUCAGGGGCUGCCCCAUAGAUUGCAUAGCGGGGGCUGUGGGGCUGCCCCAUAAGUGUGCGUAUGUGGGUCAGGGGCCACCCCAUAGAUUGCAUAGUGGGGGUUGUGGGGCUGCCCCAUAGCAUAUGUGGGUCAGGGGCUGUCCCAUAAGUGUGCGUAUGUGGGUCUGGGGCUGCCCCAUAAGUGAGUGCCUCGAGCUGUGGGGCUGCCCCAUAGAUUGCAUAGCAGCAGUUGUGGGGCUGCCCCGUAAGCGUGCGUAUGUGGGUCUGGGGCUGCCCCAUAGACUGCAUAGGGGCGGUUGUGGGGCCGCCCCAUAAGUGUGAAUAUGUGGGUCAGGGGCUGCCCCAUAGAUUGCAUAGCGGGGGCUGUGGGGCUGCCCCAUAAGUGUGCGUAUGUGGGUCAGGGGCUGCCCCAUAGAUUGCAUAGUGGGGGUUGUGGGGCUGCCCCAUAGCAUAUGUGGGUCAGGGGCUGCCCUGUAAGUGUGCGUAUGUGGGUCUGGGGCUGCCCCAUAGAUUGCAUAGCGGGGGCUGUGGGGCUGCCCCAUAGCAUUUGUGGGUCAGGAGCUGUCCCAUAAGUGUGCGUAUGUGGGUCUGGGGCUGCCCCAUAAGUGAGUGCCUCGAGCUGUGGGGCUGCCCCAUAGAUUGCAUAGCAGCAGUUGUGGGGCUGCCCCGUAAGUGUGCGUAUGUGGGGCAGGAGCUGCCCCAUAGAUUGCAUAGCUGCAGUUGUGGGGCUGCCCCAUAAGUGUGCGUAUGUGGGUCAGGGGCCGCCCCAUAGAUUGCAUAGUGGGGGCUGUGGGGCUGCCCCAUAGCAUAUGUGGGUCAGGAGCUGCCCCAUAAGUGUGCGUAUGUGGAUCGAAGGCUACCCCAUAGAUUGCAUAGCGGGGGCUGUGGGGCUGCCCCAUAAGUGUGUAUGUGGGGCUGCCCCAUAGUGCCCACCUCACUCCAUAGUGCUGCCCCAUAGAGCUGCCCUAUAGCUCUGCCCCAUAGUGCUGCCCCAGAUCUCUGCCCCAUAGUGCUGCCCCAUAGCACUGCCCCCCAUGGCUGCCCCAUAGCCCUACCCUAUAGCCCUACCCCACAGCUCUUCCCCAUAGCCCUACCCCACAGUGCUGCCCCACAGCGCUGCCCCAUAGCACUGUCCCAUAGUGCUGCCCCACAGCUCUGCCCCAUAGCCCUGCCCCAUAGCGCUGCCCCACAGUGCUGCCCCAUAGCACUGUCCCAUAGUGCUGCCCCAUAGCCCAGCCCCAUAGAGCUGCCCCACAGCACUUCCCCAUAGCCCCGCUCCAUAGCGCUGCCCCACAGCCCUGCCCCAUAGCACUGCCCCAAAGCGCUGCCCCAUAGCCCUACCCCACAGCUCUGCCCCAUAACCCUGCCCCACAUCCCUUCCCCACAUCCCUGCCCCACAGCCCUGCCCCAUAGCCCAGCCCCAUAGCACUACCCCAUAGCUUCCCUAUAGCCCUGCCCCACAGCGCUGCCCCAUAGCUCUGCCCCAUAGCCCAGCCCCAUAACUGUCCCAUAACUUCUUCAUAACUUUGCCCCAUAGCAACCCAAUAGCUCAGCCCCAUAGCAACCCCACAGCUGCCCCAUAGCAGCCCCACAGCUGCCCCAUUACCCUUCCCUAUAGCAACCCUAUAGCUGCCCCAUAGCCCAGCCCCAUAGCAGCCCCAUAACCCUGCCCCAUAACUGCCCCACAGCAGCCCCACAUCUGCCCCAUAGCCCUGCCCCCCAGCUGCCCCAUAGCAGCCCCAUAGCCCAGCCCCAUAGCAGCCCCAUAGCUUCCCCUUAUCCCUGCCCCAUAACAGCCCCAUAGGUGCCCCAUAGCUCUGCCCCAUAGCUGCCCCAUAGCUGCCCCAUAGGUGCCCCCCAGCUGCCCCAUAGCCCCCCAGCUGCCCCAUAGCAGCCCCAUAGGUGCCCCAUAGCAGCCCCACGGCUGCCCCAUAGGUGCCCCCCAGCUGCCCCAUAGCAGCCCCAUAGGUGCCCCAUAGCAGCCCCACUGCUGCCCCAUAGCAUCACCUCAGCUCUGCCCCAUAGCAGCCCCAUAGGUUCCCCACAGCUGCCCCAUAGCUGCCCCACAGCAUCACCACAGCUCAGCAGCCCCAUAGCAGCCCCACAGCUGCCCCAUAGCAGCUCAGUGUGCCUCAGUGCCCCCCAGCUGCCCCAUAGCCCCCCAGCUGCCCCAUAGCAGCCCCGCAGGUGCCCCAUAGCAGCCCCCCAGCUGCCCCAUAGGUGCCCCCCAGCAGCCCCAUAGCAGCCCCAUAGGUGCCCCAUAGCAUCACCACAGCUCUGCCCCAUAGCAGCCCCAUAGGUGUCCCCCAGCUGCCCCAUAGCCCUCUAGCUGCCCCAUAGCAGCCCCAUAGGUGCCCCAUAGCCCCACAGCUGCCCCAUAGCAGCCCAAUAGGUGCCCCCCAGCUGCCCCAUAGCCCCCCAUAGCCCCCAUAGCAGCUCAGUGUGCCUCAGUGCCCCCCAGCUGCCCCAUAGCAGCCCCAUAGCUGCCCCAUAGCAGCCCCAUAGCAGCUCAGUGUGCCUCAGUGCCCCCCAGCUGCCCCAUAGCAGCCCCAUAGGUGCCCCAUAGCCCCCCAGCUGCCCCAUAGCAGCCCCAUAGGUACCCCAUAGGUGCCCCAUAGCAGCCCCACAGCUGCCCCACAGCUGCCCCAUAGCAGCCCCAUAGCAGCUCAGUGUGCCUCAGUGCCCUCCCAGUACUCGCGGGCCCCGGUGGGUUUGGGGCUGUGCGCCCCCCCUUCGCCCCCAUCCUCCUCGGGGGUCCCAAAACCGCCACCGCCGGGGGUCAGAAGGAUGAAUACGUCCUGGGGGGGCAACGGGGGUCAGUGGGGGUCAUGGGGGGGCAAUGGGGGGGAAAUGGGGGGCAAUGGGGGGCAAUGGGGGCAAUGGGGGAAAUGGGGGAAAUGGGGGG